AUGUGUACACUUUCUCCCAGAGAAGACACUUUCUCCCAGAGAAGACACUCCAGAACAGAGGAAGAGCACAACAUCACUGACGCUUGUCUCCAACUACAUAAAAUGGCUUCUAAAUACAUCACAGAAAUUGAAAUCUCCAUUGACUCUAAAAAGGAAGAACAGCUUCGUGGCCAAGGCUUUCACAUGAUGGAUGUAAACCUCAACCAAGGCAAUUCAUCCACCACCAGAGUUUACAUGUGGUACAAAAAGGGCAAUGAAGAACCCAUCACCAGAGUCCAGUUCUCAUUCAAUGAUGGAAUGAAAGAUGGCCCAAGGAGUGCAGGGUACACUGAGCUCCCAGAAAACAUCAACUCUGGAGCAAAGGGAAAUGUCAUCCAUCUGUGGUACUUUAGUGGUGCAAGCCCUAAGUAUGACAUUCCCAUUGUAGAUCUGCUACUCACCACUAAUGUGAAUGCAGAGGCCGCUCAAUUCAAAUACGGCUGGGAAAGGCUACCAUGUGAUCUGAACCGCGGUAACUCAGGAGAUCACAUCAACCUCUGGGUGAAGAGAGAGAGUGAGACCUACAUCUGUGACGUUGCUGCCACCACCUCAUUCCAAGAAGACAUCAACCUUUUCAACAAGGGCUACAUCCGGAUGGAUGAAGAUCUCAAUAGAGGUGCUGGAGGAAGCUGGAUCUUCCUCUGGUACCGUCAAUCCACUGAUCAGGGCUGCGGGGUCACCAGGGUGAAUGUCUCCAUCAACCAUGAGCAGGAUUUCAGCCUACAGCAGCGUGGUUUCUCCGUGGUGAAUGUUAACCUCAACGAGGGAACAUCCGGUCGGCCAGUGUUUGUCUGGCUCAAGAAAGAUGGAUCUCUCCCUAUCAAGGCCUUGACCAUUACAUCCAACCCCAAGGCAGACGGUCCUUAUGAGGAGGCCGGCUUGGUCUUCAUUGAAAAAAGUCUGAAUUCUGGCAACAACGGUGUGCCCCUCUUCCUCUGGUAUGGCAAGUAAAAACCUGAGGUGGAGAGGCAGUCACAGUAAAAAUGUGCCAGAUGCUAGCUUUUGCAUGGCAAUUUCUCUGUCUAUUUUCUGUUUAAUUUUGUAUUAUCGUUCUGAAAAAAAUUUGUAAUUAAAUUAAACUGAAUGUUAGCUUUUAUGUCAUCAACUCACUGUCAUAGACCAUUUAGAAAUGUUUUAAAGUUGACUUUAAUGUUCUUUCCAAUUAAUUCACAGUUGAAUUAUGGUAUUACAUUUUAGUAUUGUCACAGCCGUCAAAGGAAGUGGACAUGAGCGUACAUAUUCCUUUAUUCAGGUGACGCCAACAAAAACAAUAAACAAAGUUAACUUCCCACACAGAAAGGAGGGAAAAGGGCUACCUAAGUAUGGUUCCCGAUAGACAGCUGUCCCUGAUUGAGAACCAUACCAGGCCAAAACAAAGAAAUACCAAAACAUAGAAAAUAGAACAUAGAAUGCCCACCCAAAUCACCCCCUGACCAAACCAAAAUAGAGACAUAAAAAGCUCUCUACGGUCAGGGUGUGACAAGUAGUACAUUUUAGCAGCAGAUUUAUCUUUUUUCUGACUAUUUCAAGGGCUUAUAAGGUAUUAUAUCUCAUUGUGUCAAAUGUGAUUUAGAAAAAAUGUAGUACAGUAAUAGAAAUAAAAUCAAAUGAUGAAUGAUUUGUGUGUAACACUGAGAAUCCCAGUCUGUUCAUCAAUAAAGAAAGCUUUACAAAUCUGAAUGUUGGACCUUUUUAAAUAACUGCCCAGUCAAAAUCUCACUUUUAAAAGUUCAUUUUCUAUUAACUCAUGUCCAAAUAAUGUUGUUGACUCGUCUUAUACUCGUAUUUGUGGCCAAAGAGUGUGUUUUUAAGACGGUGGGUGUCAAGAGGUCACUAGAGUGGAAGGUCAUGGGACGGUGUAUUAAGGGGUAGGGUGUGCCCCUAGACACUGAUCUUGAGUCAGUUUUGCACUUACGAUUGGGGAAGGGGAAGCUGAUCCUAGAUCUGUAGCUAGGGGAAACUUCACAACUUCAGCAAAAUGACCCCCUCUAUCAGGAGGAUGGUGGGGUCAUAUGCUGGUUGGAGUGGGAUACAGGGGUGCAGGGAAUGGUGGUUAGAAGCACUUCCUGUGGACGAUGGAAGCUCUAGCCUCCUUGUAUUCCUCCUUACUGAUCCACAUUCGCUGGAAGGUGGACAGGGAGGAAAGAUGGAUCCACCGACCAAGACUGAGCCCUUAUUCUCAGGGGGGUCAAUCAUCUACACGAGGGGGAGGUUUAGAGAGCAGAGUUCCAUAUGUUUGAAAGUUCUCUCUAUUUUACAUGUCCUUUCUUCAGUUUCAUUCUUUCAUGUAGUUUUGUAAUCAUAAGAAAUAGCUCAAAUGUCAGGUCCUGUGCCCCCCCCCCCCCGUGUGUGUGUGUAUCGUAGGCCUGUUCCCAGCCAUUUACCUUGAUUUUAACGGUGCUGGAGACCAGGGUGCAUGGUGGUACCACCAGAUAGAAUAUUGUUGGAGUACAGGUCCUUACGAAUGUCAGUGUCACUUCAUGAUGCUGUUGUAUGUGGUCUCAUGAAUGCCACUGACUUCAUACCUGGGAGGGGGCGGCACAGCUUCCUUAUUUCAACACCAUACCCACCACCGGUUUGCGUGGCCAAGGAGAUAGAUUUUAAUGUUAUCUGACCGUAACUCCGGUUCCAGUCCAAGUACCAAUGCCGUUUAGCAAAAUCCCUGUCAGCAAACGCUCUUGUAUGACAUGAAAUAAAUCUCUUUGUUCACGCACACCAGUGGUGGAUUUGAUGUUGAAAGAAAGAUGCAUAAACAGAAAAUAACCCCCUACUGUAAAGAAAUGGUGGUGGAUCAAUAUGUUUUGGGGCUAUUCUGCUUCCACUGGUUUUGUGCUCUGGGCAAUUCCAUUGUUCCUUCUCAAGCCAAACAAAUGUUAAGGAGUUGGCAUGAUGGCACAGACCGUCACUCAGGCUACAUAUUUCCUAGUGCAGAGCGGUAAUAAACACACUUGUUAUUAGUAUGACAUUCUCCAUGCUAAAUAUGAAACAGCUAGUAGGUUUUUCUGACCAUGCAACUUGACCAGGACAAAGUCUAGGUUCCAGUUAUAUCCUAUUACUAGGGUCCAGAUAGACCCUAUUACUAGGGUCCAGUUAUAUCCUAUUACUAGGGUCCAGAUAGACCCUAUUACUAGGGUAAAGUUAUAUCCUAUUACUAGGGUCCAGAUAGACCCUAUUACUAGGGUCCAGUUAUAUCCUAUUACUAGGGUCCAGAUAGACCCUAUUACUAGGGUCCAGUUAUAUCCUAUUACUAGGGUCCAGAUAGACCCUAUUACUAGGGUCCAGAUAGACCCUAUUACUAGGGUCCAGAUAGACCCUAUUACUAGGGUCCAGAUAGAUCCUAUUACUAGGGUCCAGAUAGAUCCUAUUACUAGGGUCCAGAUAGAUCUUAUUACUAGGGGCCAGUUAGAUCCUAUUACUAGGGGCCAGUUAGAUCCUAUUACUAGGGGCCAGUUAGAUCCUAUUACUAGGGGCCAGUUAGAUCAUAUUACUAGGGUGCAGAUAGAUCCUAUUACUAGGGGCCAGUUAGAUCAUAUUACUAGGGCCCAGUUAGAUCAUAUUACUAGGGUCCAGAUCAGUAUUUCCUUAUCAGGACACGUGGUCAGAUAAAACUCCUGGCCCUACAUUAUGUUGAAUAUCUUUGCUGAAGGAGAGAAGGGAAAAAAAACACCCCCUGAUGUGAAAUGAGAUGCAUACAAUUGGGAGUUUUAGUGCAUAGCUUUGAAUGCAGCAGUCUUGUAUAACUAAGCUUGUGGGGCCAAAGAAUUCAGUCCCAUUCAAAAUCCUAUUUUCCCUAACCCUACCACUAAUUCUAACCUUAACCCUAAACCCCCUAGAAAUAGCAUUUGCCCUUGUGGGGACAAACAAAAUGUCCCCAGUUGGUGAAAUCUUUGUUGUUCGUUUACUAUUUCUGUGGGGACUUCACGUCCACACACAUCAAAAACAGGUAACUUGAGUCGUGUUUUUCAAACAGAUUUAUUAAAAUUCCUUUCUUCGUGAAAGUCAACCUCAAGGUAUUGAACCCAUUAAUGCCUGGAUAGGAUAGUAAUUGCUGUCCAAACGAUUUGACUUCUAAAAAAUAGAGCCUAUUUAGAAAAUAUGACAAUUCGGUUUCACUCAGUAGCAUUUCCUCUUAUAAAUAGAUGUAUUUUGUCAUCCUUUCCUCAAUCACAACAUAUAUACAGACAAUCAGGACCACAACACCAACGUUAGAACAGGGUGGUAUCCAUUAUCUUUGUAUCUGUGCCAUUACAGCGUCUGACAGCAUGGGCAGUGCCAUUGAAGUAGUCAAUCUUCUUCUUCACGAUUAGCUGAUCCCUCCUAAUGACCCGGUUGGACAUGACUCCAACAGGGUCACCAGGAGGGAUCAGCCAAUGAAGUUGGAAGUCCAACCCAGUUGACUACAUUAAAAUGGUGGAAGCCCUCAAUGGCGGUGCCCAUGCUAAUUCAGCCUUUUGGCCACUAGAGGCCUCUAUCAUUCUCUAUGGUGGUAUCCCACAAAGCAGGAGCAAUGUUUUUAGCUCAGCUGGCUAACUACCGUAAAUAUUCUGAAACACCAGAUUUCCUAUCCUGGUCCCAAAUCUGUUUGUGUUCUGGCCAACUCCAUUGCUCAUUGUCAAGCCAAACGUGUUUGGUAUAACAAUGAGUGAGAAAGAGUUGGCAUGAUGGCACAAACAAACAGCUUGUCACUCAGGCUUCAUAUUUCCUAGUGCAGAGAGGUAAAACACACUUGUUAUAAGUAUGACAUUCUCUCAGUACUUCCCAUGC
Molecule: long non-coding RNA, 4803 nt
Organism: Oncorhynchus mykiss (rainbow trout)
Lineage: Eukaryota; Metazoa; Chordata; Actinopteri; Salmoniformes; Salmonidae
Source: Ensembl